RNAcentral lists this ribosomal RNA (460 nucleotides) under uncultured bacterium. RNAcentral describes it as "partial 16S ribosomal RNA". It matches the Rfam family "Bacterial small subunit ribosomal RNA", at positions 338 to 795 of the family's 1533-position model. The record is from RNAcentral.
CCUACGGGAGGCAGCAGUGAGGAAUAUUGGUCAAUGGGCGCGAGCCUGAACCAGCCAAGUCGCGUGAGGGAGGACGGCCCUACGGGUUGUAAACCUCUUUUGCCGGGGAGCAACGGGCGCCACGUGUUGCGUCACUGAGAGUACCCGGAGAAAAAGCAUCGGCUAACUCCGUGCCAGCAGCCGCGGUACUACGGAGGAUGCGAGCGUUAUCCGGAUUUAUUGGGUUUAAAGGGUGCGUAGGCGGCGCUUUAAGUCAGUGGUAAAAUUGAGGGGCUCAACCCCUUCCCGCCAUUGAAACUGGCGUUCUUGAGUGGAAGAGAAGUAUGCGGAAUGCGUGGUGUAGCGGUGAAAUGCAUAGAUAUCACGCAGAACCCCGAUUGCGAAGGCAGCAUGCCGGCUUCCGACUGACGCUGAAGCACGAAAGCGUGGGGAUCGAACAGGAUUAGAUAUCCUUGUAGUC